Molecule: transfer-messenger RNA, 391 nt
Filed under: Alphaproteobacteria bacterium
Lineage: Bacteria; Pseudomonadati; Pseudomonadota; Alphaproteobacteria
Rfam family: Alphaproteobacteria transfer-messenger RNA
About the family: Bacterial tmRNA, also known as 10Sa RNA or SsrA, is named for its dual tRNA and mRNA-like properties. Its role is to liberate the mRNA from a stalled ribosome. To accomplish this part of the tmRNA is used as a reading frame that ends in a translation stop signal.
Source: RNAcentral
AUUUUUGCAAUUUAACAGGAUACAUACUAUAUUAUAAGUGACGCUUGUCGUCUAUGGCGAUAAACCAUUCUUAGAAUAAGCGGAGCGGACCCGGGGGCGGUACCCGGCGUCUCCACCAAUAUAUGGGGACGAAAUAGGAUCGACGCACGUAAUAAAAAGGGAUGCUUUGCCCGGCCAUGAGUACCACCGUUAGCGGAACUCAAAAAUAAUAAGUGCAAACACAAAUGGCACUUUUGGACGCCGAGUGGGUCGUGGUAGUUCUGCUGCAAAUCGCAACAGAAAAGGCUGCGCUCGUGAAGCUUUCGCUCGCGCUUCUUAAUUUUGGUUCUACCAAUAAAGUAGCCUAGCGGUCCGCGGUUUGGGGGCAACCGGGCAACAGAAUGCCCCCACU